UGGGGAAUAUUGGACAAUGGGCGCAAGCCUGAUCCAGCAAUGCCGCGUGUGUGAAGAAGGCCUUCGGGUUGUAAAGCACUUUUAUCAGGAGCGAAACGCUGUCGGCUAAUACCCGGCGGAACUGACGGUACCUGAGGAAUAAGCACCGGCUAACUUCGUGCCAGCAGCCGCGGUAAUACGAAGGGUGCAAGCGUUAAUCGGAAUUACUGGGCGUAAAGCGUGCGUAGGCGGUUUCUUAAGUCUGCUGUGAAAUCCCCGGGCUCAACCUGGGAAUGGCAGUGGAUACUGGGAGGCUAGAGUGUGUCAGAGGGUGGUGGAAUUCCCGGUGUAGCGGUGAAAUGCGUAGAGAUCGGGAGGAACAUCAGUGGCGAAGGCGGCCACCUGGGACAACACUGACGCUGAGGCACGAAAGCGUGGGGAGCAAACAGGAUUAGAUACCCUGGUAGUCCACGCCCUAAACGAUGCGAACUGGAUGUUGGCCUCAACUCGGAGAUCAGUGUCGAAGCUAACGCGUUAAGUUCGCCGCCUGGGGAGUACGGUCGCAAGACUGAAACUCAAAGGAAUUGACGGGGUCAUAGCUGUUUCCUG
RNAcentral lists this ribosomal RNA (588 nucleotides) under uncultured bacterium. RNAcentral describes it as "partial 16S ribosomal RNA". It matches the Rfam family "Bacterial small subunit ribosomal RNA", at positions 355 to 1376 of the family's 1533-position model. The record is from RNAcentral.